ACGAACGCUGGCGGCGUGCUUAACACAUGCAAGUCGAACGGAAAGGCCCUGCUUUUGUGGGGUGCUCGAGUGGCGAACGGGUGAGUAACACGUGAGUAACCUGCCCUUGACUUUGGGAUAACUUCAGGAAACUGGGGCUAAUACCGGAUAGGAGCUCCUGCUGCAUGGUGGGGGUUGGAAAGUUUCGGCGGUUGGGGAUGGACUCGCGGCUUAUCAGCUUGUUGGUGGGGUAGUGGCUUACCAAGGCUUUGACGGGUAGCCGGCCUGAGAGGGUGACCGGCCACAUUGGGACUGAGAUACGGCCCAGACUCCUACGGGAGGCAGCAGUGGGGAAUAUUGCACAAUGGGCGGAAGCCUAAUGCAGCAACGCCGCGUGCGGGAUGACGGCCUUCGGGUUGUAAACCGCUUUCGCCUGUGACGAAGCGUGAGUGACGGUAAUGGGUAAAGAAGCACCGGCUAACUACGUG
Molecule: ribosomal RNA, 467 nt
Filed under: uncultured bacterium
Lineage: Bacteria
Description: partial 16S ribosomal RNA
Rfam family: Bacterial small subunit ribosomal RNA
Source: RNAcentral